CUAACAAGUUGGCGGUCAAUUGUUUGUUAAAUCAGUAACAGCCAUACUUAUUCAGUAAAAAGAGAAUAAAAAGUUGAAUACAAAUUUGGAGGUACGUGCGGAUAGGAUUGCUUUCGUGUUUUGUGGUGAUCUAUGGUGCAAAGUGCAACAAACGCAGAAACGCAAACGGCCGCCCCAACAACAAAACUUAAAAACUCCCGUAUAUAAUUGGGACAUAGGAGACUUCUCCGAUGAAGAUGAAAAUCAUGGUAUCAAUCGUUGUUACCAUGCUUCGACGCAGUUGAAAAUUACGAUUAACUAGAAAAUCAGCCGGUGCCCUCGUUCGAUGAAUUGGAGUCGGAGGAUAUGAAAUUUGAUUUUAGUAGCGAGUAUGCCAAUGAUGCAGAUGUCAUAUUGGAGGUCAGUAGUGCGGAAUAUGAGAAGACUAUGUCGAAAUUUGACGAGCUUGUAAAGAAGGUGCUUGCUUUAGAGCACCGUAAGCGGGAGCUUGAAGGGGCGUCUAAAACAGGAGCAUCUAAUAGUGAAGGCAACGAUCGUUUAAUAGAAAAUGGCGAUAUUCUAGAGACUCCGCGAGUAAGUAAGGAGCAUACCGGUAAUUCCGAGCCUCAAGAGAACGUGAAGCCGCAAUGGGCCAAUCUGUUUUCGGGUCUGAAUCGCCAUCGGAACAAAGCUGGCGCCACUCCCGAUCAAUUCUAUCAGCACAAGGCGAACAUUAUUUCCACUCGAAAGAUCAUCUACGACCCACUGGCGUUCAGCUUUCUGAGCAGUCCCCGCUCCUGCUUGUGGACUUGCUAAAGCAUCAGAAGCAGAACUGCAGGAAACUCGCGGCAUCCUGGAAGACGCAUGAGCUCGGAAAGACUCUUAGAAUGAUUUCCCUAAUCUUGGCCCCUCUGGAGACAAAGAAGCUCAAAACAAAAAACAACGAAUGCCGGUUAAACAGAUGCCAAAACUUCCCAUUUUCGAUGUUGAGUACUAUGAGGACCACGAAGACCAGGAACAAGAAAAUAAGUAUGAACCACCUCUGAUUGAAGACCCCGAGAUAUUAGAGUCUGAAGGAGAACACGAAGAAGAUGAAAGUGUUCCGCGGGCACUUUAAUGGUCUGCCCGCUGAGCGUGAUGUUCCAGUGGGCAGAGGAAGUGGCUUCCAAAGUGGCACCAAAUACCAUUAAAGCUUUGACAUUUCAUGGUCCCAAUCACCAUGACAUCAGCUUGAUGGAAUUCAGAAGCCGCGACUCUGUUAUAACCUCGUACCAUACCGUCGCCUCAGAGGUUGGGAAUCUUGCCAAUAGUUCCCGCCUGCUGGCCGUCCAGUGGAAUAAGAAACGUUAGGACUAGCUGCUUCAAGUCCGUCUUUCUCUUCUCCGCACAUUGUAUGGGCACUGACAGGGACACCUGUCCAGAACAGGGCCAUCGAUGUCAUUCCGCUGCUGCGUUUCCUGAACGUACCGCACUUCACGCAUCUAAAACAGCGGAAGAUGAUGCUGAGCGGGGGCACGGUCUCUUUCGCCCUAGCUUCUUUAUUAAGCCUUCGAUGCUGCGUCGUGCCAGGCAGCAGUUGCAGGCUUCCGGGGACAUGCCGCUACUGCCUGCCUUGACAGCUGGCAGAUGUACAACUAUCGAAGCCUGAAAUCACAAAGUAUAUUGAACAAAAAUAUAUGAGCAAUUCCUUCGAUCACUUGGCUACAAUCCACAAAAAAGGGUGAAGGAAAUCGUUAUUCUGGUGCUGUUUCUGCGCCUUCGUCAAUUUUGCUGCCAUCCCUGUCUUAUGGUUAAGAUGUUUUUGACCAUGGAUGGUACGAGGUUAUAACUGAGUCGUGGCUUCUGAAUUCCUCUAAGCUGAUGUCAUGGCGAUUGGGACCAUGAAAUGUCAAAACUUUGAUGGUAUUUGGUGCCACUUCCUCUGCCCACUGGAACAUCACGCUCAGCGGGCAAACUAAAACCACUAAAGUGCUCGCGGACAAGUAGGGGCCACGUUCUUCUCUUUCGUCUUCUCCUUCAGACUCGCAUAUCUCGGGGUCUUCGAUCGGAUGUGGUUCAUACUUAUUUUCUUGUUCCUGGUCCUUCUGGUCCUCAUAGUACUCAACAUCGAAAAUGCGAAAUUUUGGCAUCUUUUUAACCGGCAUUCGUUGAAGUUGUUUAUUCCAGUUGAGGGAGGAGCAACUGAACAAUGCGUUCAAUUACAUAGCGCGGGAGAGUCAUUCGAUGGAGGUUUUCUCUCGCUUUUGCGCUCAACAUCGUCCAAACCGUGCUUCCCAAAUAAAACUAAACUUAAAGAUUAAA
This 2280-nucleotide unclassified non-coding RNA is filed under the name Drosophila pseudoobscura pseudoobscura. RNAcentral's name for it is "GA23536". Lineage: Eukaryota; Metazoa; Arthropoda; Insecta; Diptera; Drosophilidae. The record is from RNAcentral.